Molecule: ribosomal RNA, 528 nt
Filed under: uncultured bacterium
Lineage: Bacteria
Description: bacterial SSU rRNA
Rfam family: Bacterial small subunit ribosomal RNA
Source: RNAcentral
AACACAUGCAAGUCGAGGGGUAACGGAAGUAGCUUGCUACUAGACGACGACCGGCGCACGGGUGAGUAACGCGUAUGUAAUCUGCCUUGUACAGAGGGAUAGCCCAGAGAAAUUUGGAUUAAUACCUCAUAGUAUUACUGAAUCGCAUGAUUCGGUAAUUAAAGCUCCGGCGGUACAAGAUGAACAUGCGUGACAUUAGCUAGUUGGUAAGGUAACGGCUUACCAAGGCCACGAUGUCUAGGGGUUCUGAGAGGAUGAUCCCCCACACUGGUACUGAGACACGGACCAGACUCCUACGGGAGGCAGCAGUGAGGAAUAUUGGUCAAUGGACGCAAGUCUGAACCAGCCAUCCCGCGUGAAGGAUGACUGCCCUAUGGGUUGUAAACUUCUUUUAUAUGCAAAUAAACCUACUUUCGUGAAAGUAGCUGAAGGUAGCAUAUGAAUAAACACCGGCUAACUCCGUGCCAGCAGCCGCGGUAAUACGGAGGGUGUAAGCGUUAUCCGCAUUUAUUGGGUUUAAAGGGUACG